GAUGAACGCUGGCGGCGUGCUUAACACAUGCAAGUCGAACGAAGCACUCUAUUUGAUUUUCUUCGGAGAUAAAGAUUUUGUGACUGAGUGGCGGACGGGUGAGUAACGCGUGGGUAACCUGCCUCAUACAGGGGGAUAACAGUUGGAAACGACUGCUAAUACCGCAUAAGCGCACGGUACCGCAUGGUACCGUGUGAAAAACUCCGGUGGUAUGAGAUGGACCCGCGUCUGAUUAGCUAGUUGGUGGGGUAACAGCCUACCAAGGCGACGAUCAGUAGCCGACCUGAGAGGGUGACCGGCCACAUUGGGACUGAGACACGGCCCAAACUCCUACGGGAGGCAGCAGUGGGGAAUAUUGCACAAUGGGGGAAACCCUGAUGCAGCGACGCCGCGUGAGCGAAGAAGUAUUUCGGUAUGUAAAGCUCUAUCAGCAGGGAAGAAAAAAAUGACGGUACCUGACUAAGAAGCAC
This 470-nucleotide ribosomal RNA is filed under the name uncultured bacterium. RNAcentral's name for it is "bacterial SSU rRNA". It matches the Rfam family "Bacterial small subunit ribosomal RNA", at positions 28 to 493 of the family's 1533-position model. The record is from RNAcentral.